Molecule: ribosomal RNA, 447 nt
Filed under: Corynebacterium matruchotii
Lineage: Bacteria; Bacillati; Actinomycetota; Actinomycetes; Mycobacteriales; Corynebacteriaceae
Description: partial 16S ribosomal RNA
Rfam family: Bacterial small subunit ribosomal RNA
Source: RNAcentral
GACGAACGCUGGCGGCGUGCUUAACACAUGCAAGUCGAACGGAAAGGCCCCCACUUUUUUGGUGGGGGUGCUCGAGUGGCGAACGGGUGAGUAACACGUGGGUGAUCUGCCCUGUACUUCGGGAUAAGCUUGGGAAACUGGGUCUAAUACCGGAUAGGACCAUGGUUUAGUGUCUCAUGGUGGAAAGAUUAUUGUUUUGGUGCAGGAUGAGCUCGCGGCCUAUCAGCUUGUUGGUGGGGUAAUGGCCUACCAAGGCGUCGACGGGUAGCCGGCCUGAGAGGGUGGACGGCCACAUUGGGACUGAGAUACGGCCCAGACUCCUACGGGAGGCAGCAGUGGGGAAUAUUGCACAAUGGGCGCAAGCCUGAUGCAGCGACGCCGCGUGGGGGAUGACGGCCUUCGGGUUGUAAACUCCUUUCGUUAGGGACGAAGCCGCAUUUUUUUUGG